CAGGAGGCUGCGCAUUGGCUGCGGGGAAAAUCAAUUAUCAAAUAAUCGAUCAGCAGGGAGCUUCGAUCUGCCGGGAAUGUAAACUGCCAGUACCGAUUCCCGCCCUGACGGUGGCCAAAAGGCUGACUCCCUCAAAGCGACCGGCCUGAGCUCCCAUCCCAUGGUCCCCACCCCCAUCCCACCCUGCCAGCUGUGGAGCAAACCCUCGCCCCAGAGGGGAGAUAGUUGGUGGGAAGAGUUUUGAGAAAGAUUAGGGGGCCCCCUUCACUGGGAGUUUGUUUGGAAAAGGUUGAGAGCUCUCAAAUGUAUUGAAGCCAACUCUUAGGCGCCAAUUACCCUGAUACAUCUCUUGGGAAGUUAAGGCAGGCCUGAGAGUCAAAGCCAAGGGGGGCUUUGGGGAAGCCAGGUGAAUUACCAGAGCCAACGCCUAACUCUGAGCCCGCCCCCCCCCUUCCCCUCGCAGUUUGAACUUGAAAGCAGCUUUUCAGGCCAAGAUGGAACCUUCUGAACUCAGGAAAGCGAUUUUUAAUUUUUGCGAAGCCGAGCUGGCUAGGCCAGGCAGCGCACUUCUUUUCCGAUUAUGGGGAGGGCUGCGCUGGGCCGUCAGCAGUGAGCUCUUCCCCAGCUCCUGAGGGCUGUGGCCCACACCUGAGCGCCUUCCGACAGCUACUCCCGGGGGUGGGAGCGCUGUCUCCCCAGCAGGCCUGCCAGGCAUCAGCGCGGCUUGGGCGGGGGGGGCGGGAGGGGGUCCAACCAGACACCAACACAGGCUCCUCUACGUUUAUGGUCCUUAAAUGAACUGCGAGGAAGGUUAUAAGUGAAAGAAGGAAGGUUCAGAUACAUUGAAGAGCCUGGGGUGACAUUGACUCUAAGCUUACAGCAUGGGGAGCUCAGGAUGGUUUCAUUUCACUUCUGCAGAAAAGGUAGUGUUGGUGGUGGCAUCUUUUAAACUUUAGCAUAAGCAACUGAACUGUGAACAGUUAUUAUUUUAUGAGCUUCUCUUUGACCAUUUUUAAUCUUUUUUUUUAAGUCCCUACAACAAAAGCUAACAAGCAGAAAAUUCUUCCAGGAACGGAUCACAAGUGAGCACAGCUCUGUCCUGUAUUCUAAGCUAGUAAUGGAGGUACAGUACGGGAGCUGAAGAGGUCUAGCAGACGUGCUCCAGUCAUCAACUGCAAACAUUUACCUUUGAAGCAACUGGAUGAGCCAGAUUGGUUAUGGUUUGCAUCCAUGUUCGACUUGAUAAAGGGGCAUAAUUUGUGAAAAGCCUUCAGGCAAAAAUCGUACUGAUUAUUCAAAACUAAAUAUUUUAACAUUUCAUUGAGUUAGCUAAUGAAUAAGAAAAACAUCGAAGGCUUCCUGCAGCUCAGAAAGAAUUCUAGUGGCGUGGAAAGCACAAGGAGCAAAGAACAAGAAACUGAAGGACUCCUGCUGAGCAGUUAUUCGCUUGUGAAUAUCUGAAAAUGUAUUCUUCUGUGCGUUAUUUAAAAAUGAAAAAUAAACAUCAUCUUUCCUUGUCUUUUGUUUUUAAAUGAACGUCUGAUAGCUUGCUAAAAAAUUUUUUUCUGAGUAAUUUAUGCGAGAAAGGGCCAAUUCGAAAACGUGUAACUAAUGGGAGAAGUCCACGUAUAAGCCGCAAACAAAUCGGUUUGAAGCCGAGCCCACAGCCCUGCGAGGCGCCACUGCUUCCAAGCUCAGGGAGGAUAACUUCAUCUACCGGCAGUU
Molecule: long non-coding RNA, 1725 nt
Filed under: Heterocephalus glaber (naked mole-rat)
Lineage: Eukaryota; Metazoa; Chordata; Mammalia; Rodentia; Bathyergidae
Description: lncRNA (ENSHGLG00100052505.1)
Source: RNAcentral